This 254-nucleotide ribosomal RNA is filed under the name uncultured bacterium. Its description in RNAcentral is "partial 16S ribosomal RNA". It matches the Rfam family "Bacterial small subunit ribosomal RNA", at positions 524 to 776 of the family's 1533-position model. The record is from RNAcentral.
UACGGGGGGAGCAAGCGUUGUUCGGAUUUACUGGGCGUAAAGGGCGCGUAGGCGGUCAGCACAAGUCAGUUGUGAAAUCUCCGGGCUUAACUCGGAACGGCCAAGUGAUACUGUCAAGCUAGAGUGCAGAAAGGGCAAUCGGAAUUCUUGGUGUAGCGGUGAAAUGCGUAGAUAUCAAGAGGAACACCUGAGGCGAAGGCGGGUUGCUAGGCUGACACUGACGCUGAAGCGCGAAAGCCAGGGGAGCAAACGGG